GAAUUAAAUGCAGUCAUGAAAAUUGGAAUGAAGCAGAGAAGAUUAGCAUGGCCCCUGUGCAAGGAUGACACGCAAAUUCAUGAAACGUUUCAUAUUUUU
RNAcentral lists this small nuclear RNA (99 nucleotides) under Carlito syrichta (Philippine tarsier). The record is from RNAcentral. Lineage: Eukaryota; Metazoa; Chordata; Mammalia; Primates; Tarsiidae.